GUGAGGAAUAUUGCGCAAUGGAGGCAACUCUGACGCAGCCAUGCCGCGUGCAGGAAGAAGGCGCUACGCGUUGUAAACUGCUUUUAACCGGGAAGAAACCCCAGGACGUGUCCUGGGUUGACGGUACCGGAGGAAUAAGCACCGGCUAACUUCGUGCCAGCAGCAGCGGUAAUACGAAGGGUGCAAGCGUUAUCCGGAUUCAUUGGGUUUAAAGGGUGCGUAGGCGGAGCGUUAAGUCAGUGGUGAAAUCCUGCAGCUUAACUGUAGACUUGCAAUUGAUACUGGCGCUCUUGAGUGCGCUUGAAGUGGGCGGAAUGUGCCGUGUAGCGGUGAAAUGCUUAGAUAUGGCACAGAACACCAAUUGCGAAGGCAGCUCACUAAGGCGAUACUGACGCUGAGGCACGAAAGCGUGGGGAUCGAACAGGAUUAGAAACCCCUGUAGUCC
RNAcentral lists this ribosomal RNA (445 nucleotides) under uncultured bacterium. Its description in RNAcentral is "partial 16S ribosomal RNA". It matches the Rfam family "Bacterial small subunit ribosomal RNA", at positions 354 to 796 of the family's 1533-position model. The record is from RNAcentral.